Molecule: ribosomal RNA, 433 nt
Filed under: uncultured bacterium
Lineage: Bacteria
Description: partial 16S ribosomal RNA
Rfam family: Bacterial small subunit ribosomal RNA
Source: RNAcentral
AACGAACGCUGGCGGCAUGCCAAACACAUGCAAGUCGAACGAGACCUUCGGGUCUAGUGGCGCACGGGUGCGUAACGCGUGGGAACCUGCCCUUAGGUUCGGAAUAACUCCCCGAAAGGGGUGCUAAUACCGGAUAAUGUCUUCGGACCAAAGAUUUAUCGCCUUUGGAUGGGCCCGCGUUGGAUUAGCUAGUUGGUAGGGUAAAAGCCUACCAAGGCGACGAUCCAUAGCUGGUCUGAGAGGAUGAUCAGCCACACUGGGACUGAGACACGGCCCAGACUCCUACGGGGGGCAGCAGUGGGGAAUAUUGGACAAUGGGCGAAAGCCUGAUCCAGCAAUGCCGCGUGAGUGAUGAAGGCCUUAGGGUUGUAAAGCUCUUUUACCCGGGAUGAUAAUGACAGUACCGGGAGAAUAAGCUCCGGCUAACUCCGUG